CUGUUUUCUUGUGCUUUCUUUGGUACCCUGGAGAGUCUGCAAAAGCUCUUCGCAAAAGACAACACUAGCACUUGAGUGUCUAUCACACAGAGAGCCCAGAGCCAGAUAAUUAAGAACAAUGUGAAACAAGAAGUGCCCAGAGAUGCUGAUUCUCAUUUUCAUCAGUCACAAAGGAGUGAUCAUCAUCUGGAGGCACUCCCACUGGCAGGACCACUGUCUCCCCACUUCGAAGUAGGAAACACAGGAUCUAGAGAGCCUUCUGAUGUCAGUACCUGAGCUCCCCAAUCUCCACCUGCUGGGCUGUUAUCAGAAAGACCAACCAGGAGAACCUGCAAGGGUAGAGGAAAUUCUUCCUGACAGAAGCACUCAUUCCAUGAGUGUGAAAUUUCAGCACACUGGACACCAGAGACAAGGAGUUGUUGACAUUAUUUCUAUCUCUGUCUAUAAAUCCUCUUCCUUCUUUUCCAGUUUGUGUCCUUUUCAGUCAAAUUUAUAUCCUGAGUUAUCUUUAAGCUGGGAUUAGCAUAACUCACUGUUCUUUGAAAUACUCACUAAAUAAUAGACACUCUGGAGCAUCUCUUGAUGUUUAAUAGAUGUCAAAUACUGGUAAUAUGCUGUUAUUAAAAAUGUUAGUUUCCUGAA
This is a long non-coding RNA of Aethalodelphis obliquidens (Pacific white-sided dolphin), 642 nucleotides long. RefSeq lists it as uncharacterized. The record is from RefSeq and is a predicted model, not a curated record. NCBI's taxonomy places the organism in Eukaryota, Metazoa, Chordata, Mammalia, Artiodactyla, Delphinidae. The transcript has 4 exons.